Long non-coding RNA from Erigeron canadensis, 1078 nucleotides. RefSeq lists it as uncharacterized. The transcript is spliced from 4 exons. The record is from RefSeq and is a predicted model, not a curated record. NCBI's taxonomy places the organism in Eukaryota, Viridiplantae, Streptophyta, Magnoliopsida, Asterales, Asteraceae.
ACGGAGAUAUACCGUUCGUAUAUAUGUAUACACACACACACACAUAUAUAUAUAUCAAUAUAUAUAAGAAGGUGAAUGAUUUUGAUUUUGGAGAAAAGAUUCGAGUUCAUAGAUAUAUAAGAAAUAUAUAUCAGAAAGUGAUUGAUUUCGAAUUUGAGAAAAAGAUUAGAGUCCAUGGAUGUAUCGUCAAUGAGUUUCAGAUCUACCAUCCGUACUGUUGGAAGUCAAUCAAGGUAUGUCUAAUUAAACUAUAUUUCUACCAUCCGUACUCAUAGAUUUAUGUUUAAAAUCAUGCUCACAAACUGUUUGUAUAAAUGUCUAAGUGAAUUUUGUUUGAUGAUUUGAUCCGAUAUAUGAGUUUGUGGAAGAAUGAAAUGUAAAGGAAGAAGUUUGAUCCGUUAAAUGAGAUGAUGAUGAUGUUGAUAAGUAGCAGGAAGAAUCAAAACAUACAUCAAGAAAAUCACUUUUGGAUUGCUAAGCCAGCACCUGAUCCUUACCUAAAGGCUACUGAGGUUCUUAACGUGUCAAAAGGAACACGCCUUUAUCUGUGAGGUAUUGAUUUUCUUUCUCCAUCAGGUAUUGAUCUGUUUUGUAACUCUUGAUGUCAAAGUUACAUCAAGCUUACACAACUUGAGCAUGAGCUUAAGUUUGAGGAAGCUUAUACAACAUGAGCACGCAAGCAGAUGAGAGUUAUUUGUUAGUUAACUUUUAUGAUUCCAAAAUCACUAUAAUGGACAAAAACUUGGUGCGAAAGAAACUUUGGUGAUAAUAUUCGACACACUAGAGCAAGAUGAUGCUGCAAAGGGUCGUAUUCAAGCUUCUGGGAUUGGUGAAACAAAAGUUUUGUAGAAAUGUUCCUAUUGUCUUUAAUGUCAAGUGAUAGAAGAUAUGUUGGCUACAAAUGGCUGAAUUUGUAUUUAUCAAGUUUUUAAGUUUUAGAACUUAACAAAUUUAUUUUUUUUGUUAAUUAUUGAUGGUUAGUAUAUAUGGAGCAAUGGUUGGUCAUAGUGUAUUAGUCAAAUAUAAAGGGUAAUGUAUUCAUUUUAACCAAUUAGAGCAAUGGUCUUAUUAGAUGGGA